This is a non-coding RNA of Heterocephalus glaber (naked mole-rat), 2783 nucleotides long. The record is from RefSeq and is a predicted model, not a curated record. NCBI's taxonomy places the organism in Eukaryota, Metazoa, Chordata, Mammalia, Rodentia, Bathyergidae.
GGGCCAGGUGGAGCUCUACCUCCUGAUGGGAGAAAAGACCACCGGGCACUUUUAGCACAUUCAUUUAUAGUGGUAGAGAUAGCGGAAGUGCAGGGGGAGGUCAAAGGGGCUGGUCUGUAACGGGAGCCAGGAGAGUAGCUAAGGUCUGCAGGACAUCAUGUGUGACAGUUUUCUGGCAAAUGGGCAGGAGGAAGACAGGCCUUGCUCCAGGCCUUGCUCCACCACACUCUCUUGUCCUCUGUUGUCCUCCUGCCGGGCCCUGCCUUGUUCGAAAGCAAACAAGAUGCGUGUUCCUCAUUCCACUCAGGGCCCUGACUCAUCUGGGGGAGGAAGCGAGUUAGGCCUGGCCAUAGUGAUCUACAGCACAGUGCUCCCAGCAUUAAUGAGUUUACAUUUUCUAGAAUUUUAUAGAUGCAAGUACACAGUAUAUAUUCUUUAUGUUUGGCUUAUUUGUCACACAGUUUGUUCUUUCCUAUCACUGGAUAAUAUUCCAUUGAAUACACGUAUCACACGUGUGUGGUGUUUGUUCAUUCACUUAGAGAUGAACAUUUGAGAAAUGAGCUAUUCCAAAAGAUACUCUGAGCAUUCAGUACAAUUCUUCAUGAGGACCUAUGUUUUCAUUUCUCUUGACUAUGCAGUACGUGUUACUUUGGGUUUUUGGGGGUUUUGGUUUUUUUUGCAGCACUGGGGGUCAAACCCAGGACCUUGCACACGCUAGCAAAGCACUCUACCACUGAGCUACAUCCCCAGCUCUGUUACUUUUUUUUUUUCUUAACCAGGGAUCGAACUCAGGAUCUUGCGCUUUUGAGGCAAGCGGUGGAACCACUGAGCUAAAUCCCCAGCCAGCUCUGUUACUUUUUAAGAAAUGAAUCAACUACAGUUCAAGUGCAGUCAGCUCAUGAAACUCUUAACAGGCAGACCUGGAAAGAACGACUGCUUUAACUUUUCUAUUCCUGCUUUCACAUGGUUCCCAUCUUCUUUAAUCAACAGGGGGCCAACCAAGCCCUUUUGCCUCACUGAGGACAGAAUCUUUGACAUCUUCAGUUUUGCAUAGCAUUGUAGGAUCAGGGAGGGCCACUUCCUUCUAAAUAUGUAAACGAGAGAAAAUAUAAACACAAAUAUAAACCACAGAAAAGGAAGCCAGUUUUUACUCAACCAUCCUAAUUCCAGCCCUUCAUUCAUUCACCAAAUAUUUCUUAAAUAGCUACUAAUGUCAGAAGAACUGCAAAGGCCAGUCCCUGGGAAUGCAGCGAGAGAGCCGACAGAGCCACCACAGUCCUUCCAUUUAAGGAGCACAGACGCCAGUGAGAGCAAGAGAGUUUAGAAGAAAGGGGCCAGGGAGCCAGUGAGCUUGUCGCAGGGGCCUCUGGUCUGUCUGCUAGAGGACACUGAGCAAGGGCUUGAGAAGGCCAAGAAAGCUAUUGGUCUGGGAUCCUAAAUCCUGGGUCCUUUCCCCAUUGUUGUCAGGAUCCCAUCCCAAGUCCCCCUUUCUGAGGGGGCCUGAAUCAAGACAAAGAUUGCACCAGGCUUUCUGCUAGGGUCACUAUUUUCUCCAUCCUGACUUGUCUGAAGGAAUCACUGUGUUAACUAUUGUGUAUAAAGCAUUUGUGUAGGGCCUGGCAUUUAGUGGGAGCUCUGUAAAUGUCUAAAGCCAGUCCCCGGGUGCUGAACACCUUUGCCAGGGACGGGAGCCCCUGCUUUGGCUCCAUGCAUCUCAUUACCAGACCAAUGUGGUAAUGGAUUGCUCCUCUACUUGCCCUACACACACACCAUGUCCUGCUUCUAGUUGACCUUUGCCCAGAUAAUACAGAUACGCCCAUCUCUCCUCAUUCCCCUGCACCCUCUGUCCCCCUGGCAGUGCAUCUGGUCCACCCUGGCCCCUCCCUAUCCUAUUCAAAUACAACUGAGAACACCCAGAGCCUCAGACUUCCCAUCCCUGCCUUGCAUUCUCAGGUGUUUCUGUGUCACUUCCUGCUCCUGCCCCACAAAGAUGGAUCCAGGUCGGAAGGGGCACUGCCAUGGUGGUCCUCCUCCAAGCCACCCUCCUGGUCAUGGGCACCCCCAUGGUCAUGGGCACCCCCAUGGUCACGGUCCAGGGCACUGUCCUGAAGGAAUCCACCCACCAGGACAUGGUGGGCCUCCCCAUGGCCAUGGCCCAGGGCACUGUCCUGGGGGAGUCCACCCACCAGGACCUUGUGGGCCUCCUCCUGGCCAUGGCCCAGGGCACUGUGGGCACCCCCCUGGACCACAUCACUGAGGAAAAAGAAGAAAAUAAAACACAGGAUGAGAACCCUGAGGGGGCUGCCCUGCUGACCUGCCACAGAACCUGAACCAGCAUCUUCUUCUUAAUAAACUGGAAGCUGAGCUCUAGUCUAAAAGAGUCUUGUCGUCCUUCACACUCAACUCAGGGACCCUGUUGCUUCUGAGUUCCUCUCCUGUGAAAAUGAAGCAUCCAGCCUGGCAUUCUCAGAAGCUUGGCUCAGUGAUGCCCACAGCAUGGGGCUGGAUAAGGCCAUAUUCCUUUUCUUUCAAUUUUGCCUCUCCCAUCAAAAGGUCUCAAAUGAGGUUCUAUCACCUCUGCCCCAUCCGGUGUACCCUCAGAUCUGGUGGACCUUCUGAGGUUCCAGUUGGCACACCUCAUUCUACACAUCCAAAGAUGUCAGUGGCUCCCUACUGCCACGUGUAUUUCUCAACCAUUCCCUGAAAAUAUACUGAUUUUUCCAACCUCCUUAAUUUAGGUUGCAGUGUCUCCCACCUCAGGUCAGGAAUACCCCAUCUCUCUC